RNAcentral lists this ribosomal RNA (497 nucleotides) under uncultured bacterium. RNAcentral's name for it is "partial 16S ribosomal RNA". It matches the Rfam family "Bacterial small subunit ribosomal RNA", at positions 28 to 507 of the family's 1533-position model. The record is from RNAcentral.
GACGGACGCUGGCGGCGUGCCUAAUACAUGCCAGUUGAGCGCUGAAGGUUGGUACUUGUACCAACUGGAUGAGCAGCGAACGGGUGAGUAACGCGUGGGGAAUCUGCCUUUGAGCGGGGGACAACAUUUGGAAACGAAUGCUAAUACCGCAUAAAAACUUUAAACACAAGUUUUAAGUUUGAAAGAUGCAAUUGCAUCACUCAAAGAUGAUCCCGCGUUGUAUUAGCUAGUUGGUGAGGUAAAGGCUCACCAAGGCGAUGAUACAUAGCCCACCUGAGAGGGUGAUCGGCCACAUUGGGACUGAGACACGGCCCAAACUCCUACGGGAGGCAGCAGUAGGGAAUCUUCGGCAAUGGACGAAAGUCUGACCGAGCAACGCCGCGUGAGUGAAGAAGGGUUUCGGAUCGUAAAACUCUGUUGGUAGAGAAGAACGUUGGUGAGAGUGGAAAGCUCAUCAAGUGACGGUAACUACCCAGAAAGGGACGGCUAACUACGUG